This 484-nucleotide ribosomal RNA is filed under the name uncultured bacterium. RNAcentral describes it as "partial 16S ribosomal RNA". It matches the Rfam family "Bacterial small subunit ribosomal RNA", at positions 30 to 507 of the family's 1533-position model. The record is from RNAcentral.
AUUGAACGCUGGCGGCAGGCCUAACACAUGCAAGUCGAGCGGAUGAAGGGAGCUUGCUCCUGGAUUCAGCGGCGGACGGGUGAGUAAUGCCUAGGAAUCUGCCUGGUAGUGGGGGAUAACGUCCGGAAACGGGCGCUAAUACCGCAUACGACCUGAGGGAGAAGGUGGGGGAUCUUCGGACCUCACGCUAUCAGAUGAGCCUAGGUCGGAUUAGCUAGUUGGUGGGGUAAAGGCCUACCAAGGCGACGAUCCGUAACUGGUCUGAGAGGAUGAUCAGUCACACUGGAACUGAGACACGGUCCAGACUCCUCCGGGAGGCAGCAGUGGGGAAUAUUGGGCAAUGGGCGAAAGCCUGAUCCAGCCAUGCCGCGUGUGUGAAGAAGGUCUUCGGAUUGUAAAGCACUUUAAGUUGGGAGGAAGGGCAGUAAGUUAAUACCUUGCUGUUUUGACGUUACCUACAGAAUAAGCACCGGCUAACUACGUG